Molecule: non-coding RNA, 72 nt
Organism: Phrynosoma platyrhinos (Desert horned lizard)
Lineage: Eukaryota; Metazoa; Chordata; Lepidosauria; Squamata; Phrynosomatidae
Source: the annotation of a GenBank genome assembly
GCCAGUGUGGUGCAGUGGUUUGCACAUUGGACUGUGACUUUUGAGACCAGGGUUCAAAUCCCAGCUUAACCA